CCAGUCAGUAACCUUAAACUAAUAAUUUGUCCCUGUGUGUCUGCAAACAUCUUCAAAGGCAGUGAUGGCAUUUAAAUGGUGUUUUGUGAAUUAAAUGAAUCAGCAUCAUCUAGCUUAGUUCUGUGAUAUGGUUUCAACUACGAUCAGCGAGACCUAGAUCAUGUUUGUAGAGGGAAAGGCCCAAACGCAGACUCACAGGCAGGUGAAUAUUAAUAACCAACAAUGCAUUUAUUAAGGCUGAUGUCCGUGGUACAGAACUAAGAUGAAAACAGAAUGUGAAAGGCAACAAAGAAACCUUUAUAACCAAAACCUAGACUGGGAACGAACACUAGGCACUGGGGACACCGGCCUCAGAUGUCAUCAGGCCAUUCAGUGGGCGUUAUAAGCAGAAAUCAGCACCAUAGAUAUGGGCCAGCAGGGGCCAUCUCCACCUGCUAGAUUGUUCAGAAGGUUGUUAUCAUCCAUCCAGAUGGAGGAUCACUAACAGGAGCGUGGAAGACUCCAGAAUCCACUCUGGCUGGAAUCCUGUGAUACAGCAGUGUUUACAGAUUUCAGAGGAGCACUUUUAAAGUAUCCUUAAUAAUUUCAAGCAGAACUGGAUUGGAAACCAAAAAAAGCUUUUUCUGAGCCAUGAGAGCUGACGGGAUACAACUUUUUAAAAUCAGAAACAAAGGUACAGUGAAUGAUAUUAACGGCAGGGAAACAACACUGGGGGAAGACAAGAAGGAGAAGUGUUUCCAGGAGGAAGCUGCAGUGAGGACACACUGAGUUCCUGGUGAAUCACAGCAGAACCAUAAAGGCUGCUGGACUGCAGGACGGCUUAGCCCUGAGAAGCCAUCCAGUUACAGGAGGAGCAGAUCAAAGAGAAUCGUGAUGUUUCUGCUUCCAUUUUGAUUCCAAGAAGAAGAACGCUUCAAAGAAGUGGCGUUCAUGGUCCACAGUGUGACGAUCGUGGCCACACACUGCAUGUGCUUUUUAAAGCAACAUGUUUCUUCACUUCAAAAACUUUGACAUAUGCCUUGUUGUUUGGAUAUGUGUAAUAUUAGUGAAUGUUAGGGUUUGUUACUGAAAAUUGUUCACGUCUGUUUUGUAUUUUGAUGAUCGCAGCAAAGAUACUGUUUUAAAAAGUUUUGUUUUCAGAGCCUUUCUUUAAAAUCCUGAGCCUGUAGUUUUACAUGAAUGUUACGUUUUCAUUUCUGAUCUUGUAAUGCUUGCACUACACUGUGCACGUCUGCAUUAGAGACAUCUUAGUUACCUAUUUGUGAGACUGAGCUGCUUGACUAUUAUUUGGAAGUGUAUGUAAAAAGCAUGAUAUCGUUUCUUUUUUAAUGUGAUGGACUGAACUCAGGAGGUAUCUGCUUUUGACCAAAGAUUAAUCUGAUCUCAUUUCUACCUGUAUCUACUGUUUCAAGAUUUAGCUGAAGUUUGCUCAACUUUAAUUGUUUAUUCCAGCUCUCAUAGUGCAGCCAUGAGACAGACCUAUUAAACUCAAUGCACGAUGUAAAGUUCAUAAUUCUCUGACAAAUAAAACUGUAAU
Molecule: non-coding RNA, 1537 nt
Organism: Maylandia zebra (zebra mbuna)
Lineage: Eukaryota; Metazoa; Chordata; Actinopteri; Cichliformes; Cichlidae
Source: RefSeq, a predicted model, not a curated record